UUCUCUGCUACAAAUGCAGUUCCAUUGUCUCUAACAAAGGUCAAGGGUAAGCCAUAUCUAGGGAUGAUUUUUCACUGCCAGGACCUUACAAACUUUUAUUGUCAUUUCAGUGUGGUUAUGGAAUGUCUUGGGCCAGUCUCCAUAGGUGCAGCUGGCAGGCUGGGUGUCAUUAGUCAGAAGUGCAAUGAUAUUUUGUGUUGGGAAACCAGUGACGUCAGCUGUGACAGCAUGUCCAAAGAGGGCAAACAAGUUUUUGAACAUCUGGGAGGUGAGUCCAAGUCACUUAACCUUUGAGAUCAGAGCUGGGGCCCUUCCAUUUAAAGGUGAAAAUGGGCUGACUGGCGGUAACCAAAGAAAGGCAGAAGUAGGCAUUUUUUAGGACCAAGCAUGUGGUCAAGAGGGGCAGAGAAGUAGGUGUCUUGGAGUGGCCAAAUCUUGUCAGAGCCUCCCCAAAAGUAAAUGCACAGUUGUCAAACCCUCAUGUCAAUAGUUCAAGUGAGUUGGCCCUUUUUAUCCCAUCUCUGUAUCUUCUUGUUCAAAGGCAAAGAGGGUUGACUAGCAUGGACAAUUUGCAAACAGAAGAAGGCAUCUUUUAAAUCCAGACAAGUCAAUCAGGUGGUAUUUGGAAGUAACAGUCUGAGAAGGGUGUAUGGGUUGGGAACCACAGAGCAUGGUUGGUGGUCAGGCCCUAAAGCAAGUCUUGGCUCAUUCCUCUAGGAAGAGAGUUUUCAAAAUUUCAGGAUUUGCAGUUAUCUGUCUCAGGCUGAGGCAAGCAUCAUCUUCCUCUCUGGGUUGAACUAGGGGGAGGCUGACUGGAUUGAGGACAGGAAUUCAUGUUUAGUGAGCUGUCCUGCCGGCAUUGUUUAUGCCUGGCAGAGGGGGCAAGAAGCAAGAGUCCAAUUGCCUCAGUGGUGGUCACUUUUUAAGAGAGGAAACUUUUGAAGGCCAAGAUUUCUGUUCCAUUGUCUACCAGGAAAAGCACAGGUUUGCUUCUGACUUUUGCAAUGAUCGUGGGCUCUCAGGGUGCCAAUUUGAUAAGAGUUUGGACUCUCCUAUCCAUCCAUGACUGACAGGGUAAAGAGAGGUUCAUGUUGAGGUGGGCCUAAAUAAUCAGGUUUUUUUUGUGUCUUGCAGAUGAAGAGGGCUUUUAUAUUUGUUCAUCACCCUUACAACUCAUAGCCAGAGGAUAUGAUUGUCUAUCAAACUUUACUUUCUUAUAGAUAUCAGGUGCUUUAUUUUACCAGGUUUCUGGUAACAGUGGUUGAUGGGCUUUUUGCCCUCAUUUUGAUGUCUUUGAGGAGCACUUGAAUGGGUUGCUUUGGUUAAAAGCCAUGGCAGUUUCUGGAUACUGGUG
This 1354-nucleotide long non-coding RNA is filed under the name Cavia porcellus (domestic guinea pig). RNAcentral's name for it is "lncRNA (ENSCPOG00000038222.1)". Lineage: Eukaryota; Metazoa; Chordata; Mammalia; Rodentia; Caviidae. The record is from RNAcentral.